GACGAACGCUGGCGGCGUGCCUAAUACAUGCAAGUAGAACGCUGAAGAGAGGAGCUUACUCUUCUUGGAUGAGUUGCGAACGGGUGAGUAACGCGUAGGUAACCUGCCUUGUAGCGGGGGAUAACUAUUGGAAACGAUAGCUAAUACCGCAUAACAAUGGAUGACACAUGUCAUUUAUUUGAAAGGGGCAAUUGCUCCACUACAAGAUGGACCUGCGUUGUAUUAGCUAGUAGGUGAGGUAAUGGCUCACCUAGGCGACGAUACAUAGCCGACCUGAGAGGGUGAUCGGCCACACUGGGACUGAGACACGGCCCAGACUCCUACGGGAGGCAGCAGUAGGGAAUCGUCGGCAAUGGGGGCAACCCUGACCGAGAAACGCCGAGUGAGUGAAGAAGGUUUUCGGAUCGUAAAGCUCUGUUGUAAGUCAAGAACGGGUGUGAGAGUGGAAAGUUCACACUGUGACGGUAGCUUAACAGAAAGGGACGGCUAACUACGUG
This 497-nucleotide ribosomal RNA is filed under the name uncultured bacterium. RNAcentral's name for it is "partial 16S ribosomal RNA". It matches the Rfam family "Bacterial small subunit ribosomal RNA", at positions 28 to 507 of the family's 1533-position model. The record is from RNAcentral.